ACGAGUUUGAUCAUGGCUCAGGAUGAACGCUAGCGGCAGGCCUAACACAUGCAAGUCGAGGGGUAGAGUUCUUCGGGACUUGAGACCGGCGCACGGGUGCGUAACGCGUAUGCAAUCUACCUUAUACAGGGGAAUAGCCCAGAGAAAUUUGGAUUAAUGCCCCAUAGUGUUAUCGAAUCGCAUGGUUUGAUAACUAAAGUUCCAACAAUAUAAGAUGAGCAUGCGUCCCAUUAGUUAGUUGGUAAGGUAACGGCUUACCAAGACAAUGAUGGGUAGGGGUCCUGAGAGGGAGAUCCCCCACACUGGUACUGAGACACGGACCAGACUCCUACGGGAGGCAGCAGUGAGGAAUAUUGGUCAAUGGGCGCAAGCCUGAACCAGCCAUGCCGCGUGCAGGAAGACGGUCCUAUGGAUUGUAAACUGCUUUUAUACAGGAAGAAACCCUCCCACGUGUGGGAGCUUGACGGUACUGUAGGAAUAAGGAUCGGCUAACUCCGUG
This 499-nucleotide ribosomal RNA is filed under the name uncultured bacterium. RNAcentral describes it as "bacterial SSU rRNA". It matches the Rfam family "Bacterial small subunit ribosomal RNA", at positions 1 to 507 of the family's 1533-position model. The record is from RNAcentral.